AAAGGCAAUACGAGACUGUGUGUGUGUGUGUGUGUGUGUCACGGCUAACUGGGUAAAUAAAACUACAAUCCCAUGAAGCAUUGCAAAUUAUAAUUGCGCCUUUUGGCCAACUUUGCUCUGAUAGGCCAAUUUCGCAUUUCCAGGUUUUUUAAAUCAUGAUUGGUGCACGCUGGGUAAAAGUUAUUCCGGUAAAAAUGUAUAUAAUGUUCUAUCUCUUAAAAAGACCACAAAGACAGGUCUUCAGUAAGACCAAGGCCACGGACCUGCUAUCGCAUAAUCCCAGGGACCAGGGAAGGAUUAUGAGACAAUGGCCCCUUGGGACAGAUACACAAAAGGAACCCAUCAGCCAUGUCCCUCUCACUCAGGCAUGCAGGAUGGCCAUGAUGUUGAUGGGCCCAGUCAAGGAGGUCAAUAAAUGUUUAUUUGGUUCCUGUUGCCAAGGUUGCUGUGGUGUUAUUUUUGUUUAUUUCCUUUGCACAGCUAAGUUAACAUGGUCAGGUUUUUUUUUUGCUGCCAUUGUUAGAUUGGUAAUGUGAUGUAAUAAAGAAAUGUUUUGGAAAUGUUAUAAGGUACUGGAUUUUCAAUGCAAAUAUUAAUGAAUAUAUAAAGUACAACCUAUAUCUUUAAAAAUCACCGGUUCUAACAUUUUGUUUGCUUACAUGCGGCAAUGGUUAGGCUAACUUGUGGCACAAAUUUGACAAAGAAGACUCAACCACCCAAAUGCCAGCAUUCCAUGCAGUAUGUGGGCCGGAUCAAGAUGAUGGAUCUGUGCCAAAAUUUAAAUAAAUGUUGAUCAGAAUGUG
Silurus meridionalis is the source of this 803-nucleotide long non-coding RNA. RefSeq lists it as uncharacterized. NCBI's taxonomy places the organism in Eukaryota, Metazoa, Chordata, Actinopteri, Siluriformes, Siluridae. The transcript has 3 exons. The record is from RefSeq and is a predicted model, not a curated record.